GAUGAACGCUGGCGGCGUGCCUAACACAUGCAAGUCGAACGAGACCUUCGGGUCUAGUGGCGCACGGGUGCGUAACGCGUGGGAACCUGCCCUUAGGUUCGGAAUAACUCCCCGAAAGGGGUGCUAAUACCGGAUAAUGUCUUCGGACCAAAGAUUUAUCGCCUUUGGAUGGGCCCGCGUUGGAUUAGCUAGUUGGUAGGGUAAAAGCCUACCAAGGCGACGAUCCAUAGCUGGUCUGAGAGGAUGAUCAGCCACACUGGGACUGAGACACGGCCCAGACUCCUACGGGAGGCAGCAGUGGGGAAUAUUGGACAAUGGGCGAAAGCCUGAUCCAGCAAUGCCGCGUGAGUGAUGAAGGCCUUAGGGUUGUAAAGCUCUUUUACCCGGGAUGAUAAUGACAGUACCGGGAGAAUAAGCUCCGGCUAACUCCGUG
This 433-nucleotide ribosomal RNA is filed under the name uncultured bacterium. RNAcentral's name for it is "partial 16S ribosomal RNA". It matches the Rfam family "Bacterial small subunit ribosomal RNA", at positions 28 to 507 of the family's 1533-position model. The record is from RNAcentral.